AUUGAGGACAACAUUUGUAAACUAAAGUAGCUCAGGAUCAUGGUCCUAGCUCCCUCUGGAUGCUUUGCUGUACCCCUCCAAGGAGAAGAACAUUUUCCUAGUCCUGGAAUCUCUUCAUCCAACAGAGGAUAUGGAGACUGCGAUGAUUUUAAUCUGGAGGAUGCGCUGAAAGAAACUUCAUCAGUAAAGCAUGACUCAAAGAAACAAGUCCACCAAGCAAACACAAGUGGUCGGCCAUGCACCACACUGACAAUCUUGCCUUCAGAAAAGUACACGCAUAUGAGACUAGCUGUGCCUCCAUCUACCUGUUUGUUCUGUUGUGCAAGGCUUGUGUCGUUUUGUCAUACGUGUGUCAUCUUCCUUUUUCAUUUAGAAAAUUUCAUAAUUUUCAUUAUGUUGAAACCACAAGAGAACAUGCAUCUGCCUUCGCCUUUUUUCUGCUGUACAAAAAGAGAACUCUGACCCGUUUCAUUCCUCUCACUGUUUUGUUUUGAGACAGGGUCUCUUGAUUUAGCCCGAGUUGUCCUGAAAUUCUCUGUGCCGAGAAGCCCGGCUUUGACUUGGGUCCAGUGCUAGAGCAACAGUGACUCUUGGCCACUGAUGUGCAUUUCUAGCUUCAGAACCCAUGACUUUUUAUGAUUCUUCAGUGUGAUCCCCACAAUGGCCUCGGGGACCUAUACUGAGACCAUUCUCACGAUGUGACUUUUGUAAACCAUAAAGCAGCCACUGUGUUUUACAAUCUGCUUCCUUUCGUCCUCCCUUCUCCCUUCAGAGAGCCACUUUAGCACCACGACUAGAAGGACAGGAACAACCAGAGCCCCAUCAAAUCCAGCAGAGAGAGGGGACCACAUCACCACUACUACAACGAGAAGGCCAGGAACAACUAGAGCACCAUCAAAUCCUAUGGAACUUGAUAGGUUUGACUUGGAAGAUGCCUUGGAUGAUCAGAAUGAUCUAGAUGGCCCCAAAAAGCAAAGUACAGGAGAAGGAGGAGGUUGAUCAGACAAGGAUCUCGAAGAUAUCUUGGGAGGCGGGGGAUACAAACCUGACAAGAAUAAAGGAAACUCCAAGACCACCAGUGUUUCAAGGUCUGGACCCGAGAUGGAGGUAUGUUACUGGGAGUGGAUUUUGAGGUUGCAAAGGCCCCCACCAUUCCCAGUUAGCAUUUGUUUUCUUCUACUUCUUCAUCAACAUCGGAGCUCUCAGCUGUCCAUGCCACAUGUUCUUGCUCUAAAACUCUGAAAUUGCAAGUCCCCAGUUAAAUAUGCUGUUCUAUAUGUCGCCUGGGUCACCUGUUUAGUCCUUCUUAGUUCUAGCAUUCUGUAAA
Molecule: non-coding RNA, 1327 nt
Organism: Rattus norvegicus (Norway rat)
Lineage: Eukaryota; Metazoa; Chordata; Mammalia; Rodentia; Muridae
Source: RefSeq, a predicted model, not a curated record